RNAcentral lists this ribosomal RNA (129 nucleotides) under Proteus mirabilis. RNAcentral describes it as "partial 23S ribosomal RNA". It matches the Rfam family "Bacterial large subunit ribosomal RNA", at positions 2802 to 2925 of the family's 2925-position model. The record is from RNAcentral. Lineage: Bacteria; Pseudomonadati; Pseudomonadota; Gammaproteobacteria; Enterobacterales; Morganellaceae.
AGAUGAGUCUUCCCUGUCGCUUUAAGCGACCUAAAGGAACGUUUAAGACUAAGACGUUGAUAGGCUGGGUGUGUAAGCGUAGCGAUACGUUGAGCUAACCAGUACUAAUGAACCGUGAGGCUUAACCUG